AUUUCAAUUUAAUUAGGUACAAAGUAUAUCAAACUCACAUAAAUAACUUAUUUAAAUUAAAUUAUAUAAAUCGUAUAAACUUAUGUAUAAACAUAAAAUUAAUAGAAUUUUAAUGAACUUUUAGAUUUGAUUAAAGUAUAAAAAUUAAAUAAUAUGAUAUAAGAAUUUAUUUCAUGUUUUCAUAUACUAAUAUAUAUAUAUAUAUAUAUAUAUAUAAAAGAUUAAUAACAAUUGAUAUUAGUUAAAUUUACGGUUUAGUUUAAGGUAAACCCAAGAUGCUCUCAUCUGGAAUUCUGUUAUGAUCUGUACGUCCUCAAAGUUCCAGAGAUGUUGAGAAAGAUCAAACAUCAGCAGCGUCAGAGGCUUUUUCUCUGGAGAGGUGAUGUUGAAUGGCUCUAUGCGCUGCUCGGAGAGCAAAAGAGUCUUGAAGAAGACUCUAGCAAAUCCAUAUUGGCAUCUAAGCUUGAUCUUUGUGUUCCUGUUAUGAAACACAGAAUCUAGACUGAGACUGAAGUUGGAUACCUCAGCUUUGGGAUGGAGAAUACCGGAACUCUUGGCCGGAGUAAGAGGAUGGAAAGCAUGCUGAAGAUGAGCAAGAGCGUUCCAAGAAAGACUAUGACGAAGAAAACAAAUCAGAAAUAUACUAAGUAUGAGUUGUUUCAAAGAACGUAGUAAUGGUUUAUAAUAAUAUUAACAAUAGAAUAAAAUAAAUAGUAAUGGUUUAAGAAAAUAUUAAUAAUAGUGAGCAAAAGCUAAGCAAAAUAUAAGCAAAACAUAAUAACAUAGUCAAAAUAAUAUGGAAAUGACAAGUAUAUAAAUUAUAUGUUAAAAGUUAAGAAAUUGACUUGGAGGUUUGUGUUGGGAUUUUCCCUUAACUUAAAUAAAGGUUUUAAAUGUGAACAAAAAAAGUUUGAAGUUUUAGUUGGGAAAAUGUUUUGAUUUGGAGGUUUGUUUUGGAAUUUUUUCACUUACCUAAAAAGAUUUUGGUUAUUAUUAACAUAAAAUUCUACUAAUAACAAUUGAUAUGCUUCUUCGUGUUAAAAACAAA
Molecule: small RNA, 1048 nt
Filed under: Arabidopsis thaliana (thale cress)
Lineage: Eukaryota; Viridiplantae; Streptophyta; Magnoliopsida; Brassicales; Brassicaceae
Description: ATSL230610
Source: RNAcentral